RNAcentral lists this transfer RNA (68 nucleotides) under Ursus thibetanus formosanus (Formosan black bear). RNAcentral's name for it is "tRNA-Lys". It matches the Rfam family "tRNA". From Rfam's summary of the family: Transfer RNA (tRNA) molecules are approximately 80 nucleotides in length. Their secondary structure includes four short double-helical elements and three loops (D, anti-codon, and T loops). Further hydrogen bonds mediate the characteristic L-shaped molecular structure. tRNAs have two regions of fundamental functional importance: the anti-codon, which is responsible for specific mRNA codon recognition, and the 3' end, to which the tRNAs corresponding amino acid is attached (by aminoacyl-tRNA synthetases). tRNAs cope with the degeneracy of the genetic code in two manners: having more than one tRNA (with a specific anti-codon) for a particular amino acid; and 'wobble' base-pairing, i.e. permitting non-standard base-pairing at the 3rd anti-codon position. Lineage: Eukaryota; Metazoa; Chordata; Mammalia; Carnivora; Ursidae. The record is from RNAcentral.
CAUUAAGAAGCUAAUAUAGCGUUAACCUUUUAAGUUAAAGACUGAGGAUGCAGACUUCUCCUUAAUGA